Molecule: ribosomal RNA, 468 nt
Filed under: uncultured bacterium
Lineage: Bacteria
Description: partial 16S ribosomal RNA
Rfam family: Bacterial small subunit ribosomal RNA (bases 50-468)
Source: RNAcentral
GGGGGGGGGGGGGGGCGGGGGGGGGGCGGGGGGGGCGGGGGGGGGGGGGGUGCUGUGGUGGGGGGCUGGGGUGGCGGGCGGGGGGGUGGCCCGUGGGUAACCGGCCCGUGACUUUGGGAUGACUUCAGGAAACUGGGGCUUCUACCGGAUGGGCGCUCCUGCUGCAUGGGGGGGGUUGGAAAGUUUCGUCGGUUGGGGAUGGGCUCGGGGCUUAUCAGCUUGUUGGUGUGUUAGUGGGCUAACAAGGCUUUGCCGGGUAGCCGGCCUGAGUGGGGGACCGGACACAUGGGGAAUGAGAUACGGCCCAGACGCAGACGGGAGGCAGGAGUGGGGAAUAGUGCACAAUGGGCGGAAGCCUGAGGCAGCAACGACGCGUGCGGGAUGACGGCCGUCGGGUUGUAAACCGCUUUCGCCUGUGACGAAGCGUGAGUGACGGUAAUGGGUAAAGAAGCACCGGCUAACUACGUG